UAGGGAAUCUUCGGCAAUGGACGAAAGUCUGACCGAGCAACGCCGCGUGAGUGAAGAAGGUUUUCGGAUCGUAAAACUCUGUUGUUAGAGAAGAACAAGGACGUUAGUAACUGAACGUCCCCUGACGGUAUCUAACCAGAAAGCCACGGCUAACUACGUGCCAGCAGCCGCGGUAAUACGUAGGUGGCAAGCGUUGUCCGGAUUUAUUGGGCGUAAAGCGAGCGCAGGCGGUUUCUUAAGUCUGAUGUGAAAGCCCCCGGAUCAACCGGGGAGGGUCAUUGGAAACUGGGAGACUUGAGUGCAGAAGAGGAGGGUUGAAUUCCAUGUGUAGCGGUGAAAUGCGUAGAUAUAUGGAGGAACACCAGUGGCGAAGGCGGCUCUCUGGUCUGUAACUGACGCUGAGGCUCGAAAGCGUGGGGAGCAAACAGG
Molecule: ribosomal RNA, 429 nt
Filed under: Gemmatimonadota bacterium
Lineage: Bacteria; Pseudomonadati; Gemmatimonadota
Description: Gemmatimonadetes bacterium partial 16S ribosomal RNA
Rfam family: Bacterial small subunit ribosomal RNA
Source: RNAcentral